GGUCCGGACUUCAAAACGGUAGCGGGGAAGCUG
RNAcentral lists this transfer RNA (33 nucleotides) under Aurantiochytrium limacinum. RNAcentral's name for it is "partial Selenocysteine transfer RNA". The record is from RNAcentral. Lineage: Eukaryota; Bigyra; Thraustochytrida; Thraustochytriidae.